This 433-nucleotide ribosomal RNA is filed under the name uncultured bacterium. RNAcentral's name for it is "partial 16S ribosomal RNA". It matches the Rfam family "Bacterial small subunit ribosomal RNA", at positions 29 to 507 of the family's 1533-position model. The record is from RNAcentral.
AACGAACGCUGGCGGCAUGCCUAACACAUGCAAGUCGAACGAGACCUUCGGGUCGAGUGGCGCACGGGUGCGUAACGCGUGGGAACCUGCCCUUAAGUUCGGAAUAACUCCCCGAAAGGGGUGCUAAUACCGGGUAAUUUCUGCGUACCAAAGAUUUAUCGCCUUUGGAUGGGCCCGCGUUGGAUUAGCUAGUUGGUAGGGUAAAAGCCUACCAAGGCGACGAUCCAUAGCUGGUCUGAGAGGAUGAUCAGCCACACUGGGACUGAGACACGGCCCAGACUGCUACGGGAGGCAGCAGUGGGGAAUAUUGGACAAUGGGCGAGAGCCUGAUCCAGCAAUGCCGCGUGAGUGAUGAAGGCCUUAGGGUUGUAAAGCUCUUUUACCCGGGAUGAUAAUGACAGUACCGGGAGAAUAAGCUCCGGCUAACUACGUG